This 465-nucleotide ribosomal RNA is filed under the name Vreelandella stevensii. RNAcentral's name for it is "partial 16S ribosomal RNA". It matches the Rfam family "Bacterial small subunit ribosomal RNA", at positions 338 to 795 of the family's 1533-position model. Lineage: Bacteria; Pseudomonadati; Pseudomonadota; Gammaproteobacteria; Oceanospirillales; Halomonadaceae. The record is from RNAcentral.
CCUACGGGGGGCUGCAGUGGGGAAUAUUGGACAAUGGGGGGAACCCUGAUCCAGCCAUGCCGCGUGUGUGAAGAAGGCCCUCGGGUUGUAAAGCACUUUCAGUGAGGAAGAACGCCUGGUGGUUAAUACCCAUCAGGAAAGACAUCACUCACAGAAGAAGCACCGGCUAACUCCGUGCCAGCAGCCGCGGUAAUACGGAGGGUGCGAGCGUUAAUCGGAAUUACUGGGCGUAAAGCGCGCGUAGGUGGUUUGAUAAGCCGGUUGUGAAAGCCCCGGGCUCAACCUGGGAACGGCAUCCGGAACUGUCAAGCUAGAGUGCAGGAGAGGAAGGUAGAAUUCCCGGUGUAGCGGUGAAAUGCGUAGAGAUCGGGAGGAAUACCAGUGGCGAAGGCGGCCUUCUGGACUGACACUGACACUGAGGUGCGAAAGCGUGGGUAGCAAACAGGAUUAGAUACCCUUGUAGUC